RNAcentral lists this ribosomal RNA (491 nucleotides) under uncultured bacterium. Its description in RNAcentral is "partial 16S ribosomal RNA". It matches the Rfam family "Bacterial small subunit ribosomal RNA", at positions 29 to 507 of the family's 1533-position model. The record is from RNAcentral.
AGUGAACGCUGGCGGUAGGCCUAACACAUGCAAGUCGAACGGCAGCACAGUAAGAGCUUGCUCUUACGGGUGGCGAGUGGCGGACGGGUGAGGAAUACAUCGGAAUCUACUUUUUCGUGGGGGAUAACGUAGGGAAACUUACGCUAAUACCGCAUACGACCUACGGGUGAAAGCAGGGGAUCUUCGGACCUUGCGCGAUUGAAUGAGCCGAUGUCGGAUUAGCUAGUUGGCGGGGUAAAGGCCCACCAAGGCGACGAUCCGUAGCUGGUCUGAGAGGAUGAUCAGCCACACUGAACUGAGACACGGUCCAGACUCCUACGGGAGGCAGCAGUGGGGAAUAUUGGACAAUGGGCGCAAGCCUGAUCCAGCCAUACCGCGUGGGUGAAGAAGGCCUUCGGGUUGUAAAGCCCUUUUGUUGGGAAAGAAAAGCAGCAGGUUAAUACCCCGCUGUUCUGACGGUACCCAAAGAAUAAGCACCGGCUAACUUCGUG